AAAGAUGUAGUUCAAAGGUAGAACAAUAGUUUCCUAAACUAUAAAUGUAGGUUCAAUUCCUAUCAUCUUUA
RNAcentral lists this transfer RNA (71 nucleotides) under Rhizomucor miehei CAU432. Its description in RNAcentral is "tRNA-Arg (CCT) (tRNA-Arg-CCT-2-1)". It matches the Rfam family "tRNA". From Rfam's summary of the family: Transfer RNA (tRNA) molecules are approximately 80 nucleotides in length. Their secondary structure includes four short double-helical elements and three loops (D, anti-codon, and T loops). The record is from RNAcentral. Lineage: Eukaryota; Fungi; Mucoromycota; Mucoromycetes; Mucorales; Lichtheimiaceae.